This 377-nucleotide ribosomal RNA is filed under the name uncultured bacterium. RNAcentral's name for it is "bacterial SSU rRNA". It matches the Rfam family "Bacterial small subunit ribosomal RNA", at positions 521 to 896 of the family's 1533-position model. The record is from RNAcentral.
UAAGACAGAGGUGCCGAGCGUUAGGCGGAAUCACUGGGCUUAAAGCGUGUGUAGGCGGGUCGUUAAGUGUCUUGUGAAAUCCCCCGGCUCAACCGGGGAAUGGCUGGGCAUACUGGCGAUCUUGAGCAGUUCAGGGGCAGAUGGAACAAGUGGUGGAGCGGUGAAAUGCGUAGAUAUCACUUGGAACGCCAACGGUGAAGACAGUCUGCUGGGAACUUGCUGACGCUGAGACACGAAAGCCAGGGGAGCGAACGGGAUUAGAUACCCCGGUAGUCCUGGCCCUAAACGAUGUCGACUAGAUCGUGGAACCUCUGACGGUUUCGCGGUCGCAGCAAAAGUGCUAAGUCGACCGCCUGGGAAGUACGGUCGCAAGGCUA